GUGGGGAAUCUUGCGCAAUGGGCGAAAGCCUGACGCAGCCAUGCCGCGUGAAUGAUGAAGGUCUUAGGAUUGUAAAAUUCUUUCACCGGGGACGAUAAUGACGGUACCCGGAGAAGAAGCUCCGGCUAACGUCGUGCCAGCAGCCGCGGUAAUACGAAGGGGGCUAGCGUUGCUCGGAAUUACUGGGCGUAAAGGGCGCGUAGGCGGACAGCUUAGUCAGAGGUGAAAGCCCAGGGCUCAACCUUGGAAUUGCCUUUGAUACUGGCUGUCUUGAGUUUGGGAGAGGUGAGUGGAACUCCGAGUGUAGAGGUGAAAUUCGUAGAUAUUCGGAAGAACACCAGUGGCGAAGGCGACUCACUGGCCCAAUACUGACGCUGAGGCGCGAAAGCGUGGGGAGCAAACAGGAUUAGAAACCCUUGUAGUCC
RNAcentral lists this ribosomal RNA (425 nucleotides) under uncultured bacterium. Its description in RNAcentral is "partial 16S ribosomal RNA". It matches the Rfam family "Bacterial small subunit ribosomal RNA", at positions 354 to 796 of the family's 1533-position model. The record is from RNAcentral.